AGUCAAUCUGGCUGGAAGCAAAGAAAGAGGCUGAGAUCUAGGAGGGUAGGCAGGGACAAUCAGGAAGCAGCCCCGGAUUUUCAGAAACGAUCUUUAGCAUCACCAAGACAUAGACUAAAGAAACAUGUAAUGCACAACUUAGGCUGCUCCUUCAUCCAAGGCAAUUCAAAUUUCCACGGAUACCAAGUCUUCAAUGGCCGGUGUCAACCAUUCAAUAGAAGCAUACCAGAAAAUGUUGCGAUUGCCUUCUUCACCACAAGAGUCUAAGUGACACAAAUUUGGGCAGAAGUAAUUAUUUGGCCAAGCCGGGAGGCAGGAAGCUUAAAUACCGCCUCUGUAGGAAGUGCGGGGGAUCCGAAGCAAACACCCCAAAGUUUGUUUGUGAGUGGAGGCGCGGAGGCGCCCGGAGCCACGCCGAAGCUCACCUGGUCAGCGCACAGAGCCGGGUAGGAGUCGGGUCUAGCCCUAGUUUGCUCCUGAGCGCUUCGUUCCUCUCAGGCUACUGCGUUUAAAUCAAUACUGGGUGGCAAACGAUACCCAUUCUUUGGGCUCUGAAGUUUGGAAUUCAUGGGUUCUGCGGCACAAGAAAGUUUCUUCACAGGUUAUUUCCCUGUCCGAGGCUGUCGCUUAGCUCAUCUCCUCCCGGUGCGGCCCUGGGGUGUCCACCAAGCCGCCGGGCAGAUCGCUGCCCCGUGCUGCGGCAUCUUGAUGCCCAGGACCCCGAGGCUGUGGGGCAGCCCCUCCUACCUGGGACAAGCGGCCAGAACUCCUUUUCCCACAGGGAAGAACACUCCAAGCCCCCGGAAGAGUGCGCAUCCUAAGGAGAUGUCUCCCAACGCCUAGACAAAGACAGCGCUGGGAAAAGUUGGACCAACUGGCACCCCCGCAAGGCGAACAGAGCAGUCCCCUCGGCCUUCGUGGCCGAGCCGGCUACGCGCUCUCGGAGUCGCGGCCAACUUUUCCCGCGAGCUUCUGAGCAACUUGCCGCAAGUUGGGGCGAGGGGGCAGAGCAGGGGUCAAGGGCGCGCGGAGGGACUGAUCUCGCUCCUGUCGGUUUCCUCGUACCUCCCCGCGUACCUGCUGAUGUAUCCGUCCCCGUCGCCGUCGCACGUCUGGAAGAGGCGCCGCAUCCUCUCCUCCUCGC
Molecule: long non-coding RNA, 1144 nt
Filed under: Homo sapiens (human)
Lineage: Eukaryota; Metazoa; Chordata; Mammalia; Primates; Hominidae
Description: HSALNT0092939
Source: RNAcentral